AUUGAACGCUGGCGGCAUGCUUUACACAUGCAAGUCGAACGGUAACAGGCCGCAAGGUGCUGACGAGUGGCGAACGGGUGAGUAAUGCAUCGGAACGUGCCCAGUCGUGGGGGAUAACUACUCGAAAGAGUAGCUAAUACCGCAUACGAUCUAUGGAUGAAAGCGGGGGACCGUAAGGCCUCGCGCGAUUGGAGCGGCCGAUGUCAGAUUAGGUAGUUGGUGGGGUAAAGGCUCACCAAGCCAACGAUCUGUAGCUGGUCUGAGAGGACGACCAGCCACACUGGGACUGAGACACGGCCCAGACUCCUACGGGAGGCAGCAGUGGGGAAUUUUGGACAAUGGGCGCAAGCCUGAUCCAGCAAUGCCGCGUGCAGGAAGAAGGCCUUCGGGUUGUAAACUGCUUUUGCACGGAACGAAACGGCUCUGGUUAAUACCCGGGGCUAAUGACGGUACCGUAAGAAUAAGCACCGGCUAACUACGUG
RNAcentral lists this ribosomal RNA (482 nucleotides) under uncultured bacterium. RNAcentral's name for it is "partial 16S ribosomal RNA". It matches the Rfam family "Bacterial small subunit ribosomal RNA", at positions 30 to 507 of the family's 1533-position model. The record is from RNAcentral.